GGAAAGGUUCCUAACCCAACAAUAUAUAAAGCCUCCAAGUUUCCCUAAAGCAAAGUUAUUAUUCCCACUAUUUCUCCUCCGAGAAGGUUACAUUUUUCUCAGAGAGCAAAAGAGAUGAGUAAAUAUACAGAGAUUUUGGAUACAUUAGUGAGAAUUGCUGCAAGGUUUCAUUCUCACUGCCCACAAACUGCACGGAUGUACUACCACCCUCCAACCAACCAUGACGGCAGCCGCCACCACCACCAUGACAAUGUCUCCGGCGGCAGCGCCACCAGGGAUGUUUCAGCGCCGACGGGUUGUUAUGGUUCUAAAGGUGUUGGGAUUGAUACUACUGACUUUAUUCUUUAUACUAUUGCUUGAUAGAGAUGAGGAAGAAGAAUAGUUGAAAUAUUAUUUAUAAUUAUUUUGGCAUACAAUUGUAAUUUGGCUUUCUUUCAAGAAUUAUAUACGUUCAAG
RNAcentral lists this long non-coding RNA (456 nucleotides) under Olea europaea subsp. europaea. The record is from RNAcentral. Lineage: Eukaryota; Viridiplantae; Streptophyta; Magnoliopsida; Lamiales; Oleaceae.